This 358-nucleotide ribosomal RNA is filed under the name uncultured bacterium. RNAcentral describes it as "partial 16S ribosomal RNA". It matches the Rfam family "Bacterial small subunit ribosomal RNA", at positions 338 to 693 of the family's 1533-position model. The record is from RNAcentral.
CCUACGGGUGGCAGCAGUGAGGAAUAUUGGUCAAUGGGCGCAAGCCUGAACCAGCCAAGUCGCGUGAGGGAAGACGGCCCUACGGGUUGUAAACCUCUUUUGCCGGGGAUCAAGCCUGAGCACGUGUGCCCAGGCGGAGAGUACCCGGAGAAAAAGCAUCGGCUAACUCCGUGCCAGCAGCCGCGGUAAUUCGGAGGAUGCGAGCGUUAUCCGGUUUUAUUGGGUUUAAAGGGUGCGUAGGCGGGCUGUUAAGCCGGCGGUAAAAAUUCAGGGCUCAAACCUGUCGAGCCGUCGGAACUGGCAGUCUGGAGUGGGCGAGAAGGAGGCGGAAUGCGUGGUGUAGCGGUGAAAGGCAGAG